RNAcentral lists this ribosomal RNA (152 nucleotides) under Cremnophila nutans. RNAcentral's name for it is "5.8S ribosomal RNA". It matches the Rfam family "5.8S ribosomal RNA". Rfam says of the family: 5.8S ribosomal RNA (5.8S rRNA) is a component of the large subunit of the eukaryotic ribosome. The record is from RNAcentral. Lineage: Eukaryota; Viridiplantae; Streptophyta; Magnoliopsida; Saxifragales; Crassulaceae.
CGGCAACGGAUAUCUCGGCUCUCGCAUCGAUGAAGAACGUAGCAAAAUGCGAUACUUGGUGUGAAUUGCAGAAUCCCGUGAAUCAUCGAGUCUUUGAACGCAAGUUGCGCCAGAAGCCUUUAGGCCAAGGGCACGUCUGCCUGGGCGUCAUG